CCUACGGGUGGCAGCAGUGGGGAAUAUUGGGCAAUGGGCGCAAGCCUGACCCAGCAACGCCGCGUGAAGGAAGAAGGCUUUCGGGUUGUAAACUUCUUUUCUCAGGGACGAAGAAAGUGACGGUACCUGAGGAAUAAGCCACGGCUAACUACGUGCCAGCAGCCGCGGUAAUACGGAGGUGGCAGGCGUUAGACGGCUUUGUUGGGUGUAAAGGGCGUGUCGGCGGGUGCGCAAGUCAGAUGUGAAAAGUCAGGGCUCAACCCUGAGCCUGCAUUUGAAACUGUGUUGCUUGAGUGCUGGAGAGGCAAGCGGAAUUCGGUGUGUAGCGGUGAAAUGCGUAGAUAUACGGAGGAACACCAGUGGCGAAGGCGGAUUGCUGGACAGUAACUGACGCUGAGGCGCGAAAGCGUGGGGAGCAAACAGGAUUAGAUACCCGAGUAGUC
RNAcentral lists this ribosomal RNA (443 nucleotides) under uncultured bacterium. Its description in RNAcentral is "partial 16S ribosomal RNA". It matches the Rfam family "Bacterial small subunit ribosomal RNA", at positions 338 to 795 of the family's 1533-position model. The record is from RNAcentral.